Molecule: long non-coding RNA, 350 nt
Organism: Scaptodrosophila lebanonensis
Lineage: Eukaryota; Metazoa; Arthropoda; Insecta; Diptera; Drosophilidae
Exons: 2
Source: RefSeq, a predicted model, not a curated record
UUCUAAUCAUGAAAGUCUUGGGAAUUAUCCAAUUGUAUUUGAUCGUAGUGCUGGCUCUAAGCAAUGCUAGCGCCGAUAAAGAAAAAUGGACAGCACGUAUUGGACCCAAAAUCUUGAGAUAGAUAGAUGCGUCAAUAUGUUCGAUGCUAAACAAAUACACUAACUAUUUCUGGAGCAAAACUUGAUGAAAGUUCGUGAAACUGAUGAUGAUGAAUAUACUUGAUAAUUAAACACAAUUUCCAAAUUAGUAAAAGAAAUGUAAAAUGUCAAAAUUUAGUUUAUUAUCAUUGCUUAUGUACAAGUAUGUAGUAUACGUAGUAGGCAAAUAAACAUUUGAUAUUGACAUUGAA